Molecule: long non-coding RNA, 915 nt
Organism: Conger conger (European conger)
Lineage: Eukaryota; Metazoa; Chordata; Actinopteri; Anguilliformes; Congridae
Exons: 3
Source: RefSeq, a predicted model, not a curated record
GUUUUUCUUUGAAUUCUUUAGAGGAAAGCAUUUGAAGAGGACCGAGCAACUUGGCUCAAACAUCAGUUUCUGAACAUGACUCCAUUUACAGAACGCACAAAAUCCCAUACUCCAAAACCUCAAAGUGCCUUAUCAGUUUGUACCGAGCCAGAGGUUAAAAAUUCAUCCACUCCUGCACGACUGGGUGAAUCACCAUCUCAUACCACUUUUACCUCACCGAAAGCCGCCCCUGUGAGGAUGCCAUCUACAGCAGAUCUCAACAAUACUCUUUGUCUCGUCACUGACCACAGCUCAACAAAAGCAGUACCAAAGAGGGGGAGUUGGCAAGACUCUGACAUCAUGCAUAGCAGCAAACUUUCAAUCAAAUCAAGUUACUGCAAUGGAACAGGUGACACAAGCAUAUUUUCUCAUGCUGGAGAAGAUGAUGACCAAAUCUAAGGCCAUUUGGGACCACCUCAGUACUUUGUUUUGUUUUUUUAAGCCGUAUCCAUGAGUUUCAUGAAUGGAUUUUGUUUUAUAACAUACCAUGGUUUGAUGAAUCUGUAAUGUUGGGGGUGACGGAGAGCCAGUUGCGACUAGGAGAAAACCCCUUCAAAAAGCGCGCACGCGAACGUGUUCGCCACUAAUACUCCCAAAACCCAACGGAAGUAAAUACUUUCCUUCUCCCGAGACAGAGGGAGGAACAAAAACAAACCCGAAGGCGACUCAGAAUAACUAAACAGAAAAGAAGCCCAAAAACUGGCUGAGGAGAAAAAUAAAACAACCCUUUAAAACUGGGCGAAAUAACAAACCAAACUUGGUGCUUGUAAACCCUCAGUGAUGUAGUGGACUGAGGAAAUCCCGAAAAGAAAAUACAACCUAGCGAAAAAAAUGCUAGGCACAAUAAAAUAAAACCCACGAGAUGCAGCUCGGGAA